GGAGGGUUGGGAUCCCGCUAACAUGUUUAACCCCGCCACAUUAUUUAUGUAUGUGCCUGUCCCAAGUCAGGAGCCUGUAAUUCAGUGGUUGUCGUUUGUUUAUGUGUUACAUAUUUGUUUUUCGUUCAUUUUUUUUUUACAUAAAUAAGGCCGUUAGUUUUCUCGUUUGAAUUGUUUUACAUUGUCUUAUCGGGGCCUUUUAUAGCUGACUAUGCGGUAUGGGCUUUGCUCAUUGUUGAAGGCUGUACGGUGACCUAUAGUUGUUAACGUCUGUGUCAUUUUGGUCUUUUGUGGAUAGUUGUCUCAUUGGCAAUCAUACCACAUCUUCUUUUUUAUAUUAUCAAGUUU
This 348-nucleotide long non-coding RNA is filed under the name Mytilus galloprovincialis (Mediterranean mussel). Lineage: Eukaryota; Metazoa; Mollusca; Bivalvia; Mytilida; Mytilidae. The record is from RNAcentral.